UACGAAGGGGGCUAGCGUUGCUCGGAAUCACUGGGCGUAAAGGGCGCGUAGGCGGCCAUUCAAGUCGGGGGUGAAAGCCUGUGGCUCAACCACAGAAUUGCCUUCGAUACUGUUUGGCUUGAGUUUGGUAGAGGUUGGUGGAACUGCGAGUGUAGAGGUGAAAUUUCGUAGAUAUUCGCAAGAACACCAGUGGCGAAGGCGGCCAACUGGACCAAUACUGACGCUGAGGCGGCGAA
Molecule: ribosomal RNA, 236 nt
Filed under: uncultured bacterium
Lineage: Bacteria
Description: partial 16S ribosomal RNA
Rfam family: Bacterial small subunit ribosomal RNA
Source: RNAcentral